RNAcentral lists this ribosomal RNA (419 nucleotides) under uncultured Actinomycetes bacterium. RNAcentral describes it as "bacterial SSU rRNA". It matches the Rfam family "Bacterial small subunit ribosomal RNA", at positions 983 to 1395 of the family's 1533-position model. Lineage: Bacteria; Bacillati; Actinomycetota; Actinomycetes. The record is from RNAcentral.
GAGGUUCGCCGGGCAGCAUCAGAGAUGGUGCCCCCCUUGUGGUCGGUGUACAGGUGGUGCAUGGCUGUCGUCAGCUCGUGUCGUGAGAUGUUGGGUUAAGUCCCGCAACGAGCGCAACCCUUGUUCUGUGUUGCCAGCAUGCCCUUCGGGGUGAUGGGGACUCACAGGAGACUGCCGGGGUCAACUCGGAGGAAGGUGGGGACGACGUCAAGUCAUCAUGCCCCUUAUGUCUUGGGCUGCACACGUGCUACAAUGGCCGGUACAAUGAGCUGCGAUGCCGUGAGGCGGAGCGAAUCUCAAAAAGCCGGUCUCAGUUCGGAUUGGGGUCUGCAACUCGACCCCAUGAAGUCGGAGUUGCUAGUAAUCGCAGAUCAGCAUUGCUGCGGUGAAUACGUUCCCGGGCCUUGUACACACCGAAU